Molecule: ribosomal RNA, 237 nt
Filed under: uncultured bacterium
Lineage: Bacteria
Description: partial 16S ribosomal RNA
Rfam family: Bacterial small subunit ribosomal RNA
Source: RNAcentral
CGAACGGGUGAGUAACGCGUGAGGAACCUGCCUCAAAGAGGGGGACAACAGUUGGAAACGACUGCUAAUACCGCAUAAGCCCACGGCUCGGCAUCGAGCAGAGGGAAAAGGAGUGAUCCGCUUUGAGAUGGCCUCGCGUCCGAUUAGCUGGUUGGUGAGGUAACGGCCCACCAAGGCGACGAUCGGUAGCCGGACUGGGAGGUUGACCGGCCACAUUGGGACUGAGACACGGCCCAA